RNAcentral lists this ribosomal RNA (466 nucleotides) under uncultured bacterium. Its description in RNAcentral is "partial 16S ribosomal RNA". It matches the Rfam family "Bacterial small subunit ribosomal RNA", at positions 28 to 507 of the family's 1533-position model. The record is from RNAcentral.
GAUGAACGCUGGCGGCGUGCUUAACACAUGCAAGUCGAACGGUGAAGCAGAGCUUGCUCUGUGGAUCAGUGGCGAACGGGUGAGUAACACGUGAGCAACCUGCCCCUGACUCUGGGAUAAGCGCUGGAAACGGCGUCUAAUACUGGAUAUGAGCUGCGACCGCAUGGUCAGCAGUUGGAAAGAUUUUUCGGUAUGGGAUAGGCUCACGGCCUAUCGGCUUGUUGGUGAGGUAAUGGCUCACCAAGGCGUCGCCGGGUAGCCGGCCUGAGAGGGUGACCGGGCACACUGGGACAGAGACGCGGCCCAGACUCCUACGGGAGGCAGGAGUGGGGAAUAGUGCAAAAUGGCGAAAGCCUGAUGCAGCAACGCCGCGUGAGGGAUGACGGCCUUCGGGUUGUAAACCUCUUUUAGCAGGGAAGAAGCGAAAGUGACGGUACCUGCAGAAAAAGCGCCGGCUAACUACGUG